UACGUAGGGUGCGAGCGUUAAUCGGAAUUACUGGGCGUAAAGCGUGCGCAGGCGGUUCGUUGUGUCGGCGGUGAAAGCCCCGGGCUUAACCUGGGAAUGGCCGUCGAAACUGGCGAACUGGAGUGUGGCAGAGGGGGGUGGAAUUCCGCGUGUAGCGGUGAAAUGCGUAGAUAUUGCCCGGAAGGCCAACGGCGAAGGCAGGUUACUGGUACGCAACUGACGCUGAGGCACGAAAGCGUGGGGAGCAAACAGG
RNAcentral lists this ribosomal RNA (253 nucleotides) under uncultured bacterium. RNAcentral's name for it is "partial 16S ribosomal RNA". It matches the Rfam family "Bacterial small subunit ribosomal RNA", at positions 524 to 776 of the family's 1533-position model. The record is from RNAcentral.